This 329-nucleotide unclassified non-coding RNA is filed under the name Hevea brasiliensis (rubber tree). The record is from RNAcentral. Lineage: Eukaryota; Viridiplantae; Streptophyta; Magnoliopsida; Malpighiales; Euphorbiaceae.
GGCGGUGCAUUGGCUGCAUCAUUCGCUGUACGACGUGACCGGCUCCGAUGCUAACACUCUCUGGCUCCUCCAGAGAUUGGCACCCAAGGUGGUAACAAUGGUUGAGCAAGACCUAAGCCAAGCAGGCCCAUUCCUUGCUCGAUUCGUGGAGGCGAUCCACUACUACUCAGCUCUCUUUGACUCGCUCGGUGCCAGCUAUGGCGACGACAGCCCUGAGCGCCACCUGGUGGAGCAGCAGCUGCUCUCACGAGAGAUACGCAAUGUGUUAGCUGUUGGGGGACCUGCACGCACCGGAGAGGUCAAGUUCAGCAACUGGCGGGAGAAGCUAG